AGGACAACGCUGGCGGCGUGCCUAACACAUGCAAGUCGAGCGGAGAUACAUUGAAGAGCAAUCAGAUAUGUAUCUUAGCGGCGGACGGGUGAGUAACGCGUGGGCAACCUGCCUCAUACUGGGGGAUAACACAGGGAAACUUGUGCUAAUACCGCAUAAUAUCAUUAUAGGGCAUCCUGUGAUGAUCAAAGGAGCAAUCCGGUGUGAGAUGGGCCCGCGUCCAAUUAGCUAGUUGGUGAGGUAACGGCCCACCAAGGCGACGAUUGGUAGCCGAACUGAGAGGUUGAUCGGCCACAUUGGGACUGAGACACGGCCCAGACUCCUACGGGAGGCAGCAGUGGGGAAUAUUGCGCAAUGGGGGAAACCCUGACGCAGCAACGCCGCGUGAAGGAUGAAGGUCUUCGGAUUGUAAACUUCUUUGAUGAGGGACGAACACAAUGACGGUACCUCAAAAACAAGCCACGGCUAACUACGUG
This 476-nucleotide ribosomal RNA is filed under the name uncultured bacterium. RNAcentral's name for it is "bacterial SSU rRNA". It matches the Rfam family "Bacterial small subunit ribosomal RNA", at positions 32 to 507 of the family's 1533-position model. The record is from RNAcentral.